This is a long non-coding RNA of Cuculus canorus (common cuckoo), 1126 nucleotides long. RefSeq lists it as uncharacterized. NCBI's taxonomy places the organism in Eukaryota, Metazoa, Chordata, Aves, Cuculiformes, Cuculidae. The transcript is spliced from 7 exons. The record is from RefSeq and is a predicted model, not a curated record.
CAGCUGAAAAAGCAGUCCUUCAUCUUUAUUUUCUCCAGGCAGAACCAACCUUUCAUCAAAGCUCUUGAAAGGAUGGAAGAGGGACAGGGACAUUAAGGGGACACCGGGUGCGCAGUUCGGGUACGCCCCUGAAGCACAGAGGUGCGUGGGUGCUGUAUGAGAUGCUGCAAGAGAGGACAACACUGCAGCACAGCGUUCCAGAAAAGCAGCAGCAGCCCUUCAAGAGCCCUGCAAACCUUCCAGUGCGCUGAAAAGCUGGUAUGCCUUUUUGGCUUCUGAGAGUUUAAUAAAGGUAUAGAGAAUGCAGAUGAUGAGCUUGGAUUUUCGGCAGUUCCAGCUCAUGAAGAGCUUACCUCGAAGAUGUCAUCAGAUGUCAAGUGAUGGUUUGGAAGGGAGACCCACUUCAAGCAACAAUGGAGAUGACUGUUCUGCUCUGAUAAACUAGCACAUCCUCACUUUCCAUCAGUUUGAAAAAUAUAUCUCCUCCCUUCCAGCAACAUCCAAAGUCUGCAGUAUUUCCUCAGCUCUCAUAAGAUCCAUUUCCAAAUGUAUUUGUUUCUGCUGUGAAGAGGGGUACACUGAGGUCCCUAUAGCACAGUUGCAUGCUGAAGUUCCUGAAGACCAGAAGAUCUCCAAGAGAAGAACAGGCUAAAAAGCCUGCACAUCACUGUAUCCUCUCCUCCUGAGGCCGGUGGAAGUUUUUUGCAUGGGGAAAGGCAGUGAGAACAUUUCUGAAGCAAGGGUAAGUAUAUACGACGAGAUGCAGUUACUCAUUUUUUACCAUUACCUUUCUAAAGAUCAGACUUUUCUUUCCUUGAUAGGCACAGAGAAGCCUAAAAAACCUGUGCAAAGAUAGUUACCAGCUGGAGUGAGACACCUGGGAGGAUAAUGUGACUCUUGCAGGGUGACAAUGCUCAGAUCAGGCAAGAAAAUCUUUUUCCGCCUUUAUCCAAACAUGGAUACCUAGAGUGUAGACACCUGACCCUUGAGCUUGUCACAUCAUCACCUGAGAGAGUCUAUGAAGAUGGCUGUAGAGUGCAAUUUUGCUUGUCUGGAGAUUAAAAUAAAAAACAGAUCAGAUAUCCUCCAGGAAUAUUAAUUUUCUUCCAUUAAUUGUAAUCUGGUU